CGUGGUGCUGGAACCAGCUCUGCACUGCACUGUGCAGUUGCAGACUAGAAUGCACCACAGAUGC
Molecule: small nucleolar RNA, 64 nt
Filed under: Euglena gracilis
Lineage: Eukaryota; Euglenozoa; Euglenophyceae; Euglenales; Euglenaceae
Description: Eg-p25 AGAUGN box pseudouridylation-guide
Source: RNAcentral